CUUGGAAUGUUCUACAAGGUUUAUAUCAACUGAGGGUUGAAAAAUCCUACUUAUCCACUCUCCUUACUUUAGAGAUGAGGAAUUUGAAUCUUAGAGAGUUUAUGACUUAUCCAAUUGGUGGUAUUACCGAAAACCAAAAGCCAGUUUGCUUCCUAGUUGAAUGUUCUUUCCAUCAUGCCAUGUGGAGUUAUUUUGAGUCAACCAGAAAAUCUGCAAGGACAUCAAAAUAAUGUUCUUUCUCCCUCUGACCUCAGUAAUAACCGGUUAAAGAUUUAGAAUGCUUUAGAGUAAAUCCUCAAAGCAGCUGCAGGUCCUCAAUGUUCCAGAAUAGAUAUUUUAAGUUCUCCAAAUAAAAAAUCCCAAUAAAGACCUUCUUUUUGCAGUAACUAAAAAAGUUUCCAGCUCUCCUGUCACAAAGUGGCUAUUGAGACUUCAAAUGUCAGAUGAUCUCCUUUGAAGCAGCAAAAUAGAGUGGAUAGAACUCCAGGAUGGAUGUCAAAAAACUCUGUGAUCCUAGUUCUAACUCAAAUUUACCUUUCAUAUGGUAUGAGGUUGGCAACAAAUGAUUCAUGGACCACCACUCAUCUAUAGACCAGACAUUAGUAAGAUGUGCUUGCUUCUCCUUCGCCUUUCACCAUGACUGUAAGUUUCCAGAGGCCUCCCAGUCAUGGUUCCUGUUAAGCUUGCAGAACGUGCACACAACCUGGAGCAAAGAGAUGUCAACGUAGACUUGAAAGCCUCAACAAACAUCUAUACAUUCAAAAUUCAGAGGAUAAUUGCAGACUUACAUGUUAAAUGAUGCCACAGGCUUGUGGUGAAUGUACAAAUCUAAUUCC
Molecule: long non-coding RNA, 836 nt
Filed under: Homo sapiens (human)
Lineage: Eukaryota; Metazoa; Chordata; Mammalia; Primates; Hominidae
Description: long independently transcribed non-coding RNA 2461 (LINC02461)
Source: RNAcentral